RNAcentral lists this small RNA (2992 nucleotides) under Rattus norvegicus (Norway rat). RNAcentral's name for it is "uncharacterized LOC108349688". Lineage: Eukaryota; Metazoa; Chordata; Mammalia; Rodentia; Muridae. The record is from RNAcentral.
GACAGAAAGAGACAAAACCAGGUUAGGUGCAGUGCGGAAGGGGUCAAAGCGGGGGCCAUAUGGGAAAGAGGGACAGUCAGGUAGCCUGGAGUGGGGAGCCUGGGCCCUGAGACUCUGGGUAUAGGAUUCCCAGCCCUUCGUGCAAGAGCCAAUGAUGGGGGUUGGGGAGAUCCUACUGGGUCUGGGCUUACAGGGGACCAGGGAGUGGGGGCACAGGAAGGCCACCAAGGCUACUGACCACCCAGAAGUAGCACAUAGGACAACCAGCAGGAGCUGACUUGCUCCUUCCACAGAGUUCAUCCUGUGGUUCGAAUCCAAGUUGUCAGGCUUAGUGGCAGAUGCCUUUACUCACUGAACCAUCUUGAUCCCCUCUGUUCCCCACCCCUACUUUUUUUCUGAUACAGGGUUUCUCUGUGCAGCCCUGGCUGUCCUGAAACUCUCUUUGUAGACCAGGCUGGCCUCGAACCCAGAGAUUCACCUGCCUUUGCUGGGAUUAGAGGCGCAUACCACCACGACCCUACCUCACCCCCUUUAUUUUUUUUAAAGACAGUUUCCUGAAUUCUAGACUGGCUUCAAUUCACUGUGGAGCAGAGGAAGGCUUUAGAGUAUUCCUGCCUCCACCUCUGAGUGUUGGAAUUGUGGGUGUUCACUGCCCGGCCAGUGUUCCUCCUGUUCUCCUUUACAGUGUUCCUGGAGACCCAGAAGUGUUCAGCCUUCAGCGUAGGUGUGGGGAGGCAUGCAUGGUCCUUACCCUCAUGGCCCACAGGCUGCCUAGUAACACAGUUAGAGGCCACCAGAGGGAAGUGCACAUGGGGCACAGUGCACACACUUUUAAUCCCAGCUCUCAGGAGGCAGAGGCAGAUGGAUCCCUGAAUCCGAGGCCAGUCUGGUCUAUACAGUGAGUUCUAAGACAGUGAGGACUGUGUAGACCUUAAUUGAAAAACAAGAGAGAAGGCAGCGUAUGUGCAGCUAGGGAGGAGGCAGGAUGCCACAGAGUCUGGAGUACACUGUGGAGGCCCCAUGCCCCGGGCCAUGUCUGAAGUCUGAGUGCCAGCCAGCACAUGGUGAGCAGGGCAGCCUGGCUCCAGGCCUCGGUUUCCAUACUCCAGCACACAGGGUUGGGUCAAAGGUCAUGAAAAGGAGUCAGUUCUGGCCUUGCUUGGAAGGUGUCCUGCUUUCUGCCUGGUCUGAUGGGGGUCCCUCAGGCAGAGUGGGCCUGACGGCCAUCAUGGCCGACACUUUCCCGAUUAGCCACAUUUUUCUCUGCCCGGCUGGCUGCCCCUCCUGCCUUACCAUGUGGCCCUGUGGCUGACAUAGGUAAGGGAGACUGGCAGCCCCUCUGCCAGAGCUAGUGCUGUGCAGAUGAUUGCUCCUGCUCAGGUGUCCUCUUCUGGCCACAAGGUCUGCGUGCCUAAGUGCCAACCAGACAAAGAGCUAGGGGAGACUAUAGGUCCCCCAAGACCCAGUUGCUGCCCAGGUGAGAAGCCCAGGUGAGAGGCCCAGGUGAGAGGCCUAGAGGGGCUGGCUCCAAGGCUGGAUCUUCAGCUCCUCCCAGGGUUUACUCUUACCCCACCUUCCUGGGCUUUCUGCUUUAGGGUUAGGGGCCAGACUGUGGCCCAGGGCUUUUCUGCGGAAGCUAUGGAUGCUGCUAAGUGGUGUCUCGCAGUGGCUGGUCUCCCAGACCUGACAGCUCUUCGCUUGGGGAAUAAUUAAUUCCAUAGCCUGAAAACCCAGGGCUGCAAGUUGCCACGUUACUUUCAAGAUUAAUACAUGCAGCUAAUUAAGAUACAGAGGCAAUGAGCGGCUUGGAGCUCCUAGAACCAAGCAGCGGCCAUGGGAACGGAGAAAGGAGCCAGCCGAGCCUGUAGGCAAGUUAGCUGGGAGACACUGCCAGGUCAGAGGUCAGCCAACAAGGAUCACAGAAGGGGUAGAGUGCAGAGGUCCCAUUCUGGUCCCCAUUCUUAGCAAGAUAGGCUGCUGCUCUUCGCAAAGUACCCCAUUUAUCGUCACAGCCAAGCCACCAGAGAGGGCCUCCUGUUCCCAUUUUACAGAGGAGGAAACUGAAGCUGGGGAAGGGGUGGGGGACAGUGAAGGUGUAGGCAGGGUUGGGGUAGGAGCUGCGGUAGUACUUCAUGGACUUGUGAGUGCAGGAAGCCCUGGGUUGGAUUUUCAACCACGUAUUCCAGAUAUACAGAUUUCUGUGUAUAUACCAGACAUAGUAGCUGAUGCCAGUAAUUUUAUCACUCUGGGAGGUGGAGGCAGGAGGAUCAGAAGUUCAAGGUCAUCUUCUAUUAUGUAAAGAAUUCUAAACCAACCCUGGCUCAAAAUAAACGAAGACUAAAUCUGAGUCUCUCUGAACUGGAAGGCAGGCCACCAAGAUGGGGGGGUUAAGGUUACAACUUGGCUACACCUCCUGGCCACACCUACUUCCUGAAAGCAAGGAGGAGCACUCUGGAGCCUCUAUUACCUCAGCCUCAACUGCUCCACGCCCAGCAGGCUUGGCUGCAAACUUGAGAGGCCGCACUCCGGCAGCCCCGCGUGGGAACCCGGCAGUGGGAGAUGAGGCAUCUCAGGGGUGCUCAUGUAGCCCAGACUAGCCUUGAAUCAGUAUGUACCUAAAGGAGAAGGACCGUGAGUUCUUGAUCCUUCUGCCUCAGGAUCCUGGGGUACAGUGCCUCCCUCUGCCAAGUUCCAGGUUCUCAGGUCUAGCAACUGUGCCUGAAGAAAUCACCCUGCCCUCUCCAGGAGACUUACUCAGAUAAGCAGCUGUCUGAUUACUAACAUCAGGAAUGCCACACCUGCAGUUCCAUCACCGAGCUCUGGCUCAUAGCAGGUGUGUCGAGGGACAUUUUUUCAGUAUUGGGGACUGACUAUUAGCCUCUUGCAUGCUAGGCAAGUGCUCUCCCAUUAAACCACAUCCCCAGCUCAUUGGUGUUUUUGUUUUUGUUUGGUUUUUCAAGACAGGGUUUCUCUGUGCAGCCCUGGCUGUCCU